UCUAAUGAUUCAAGUCUCACUCGAGUAAGACAUGUAAGUAAGUGCCGCACAUCUACCUGCAGCUCUGGUUGCUUCCCUUAAAUGACCACAAGAUUUCAGCUUUGAGCUGGUGCGUGAAUUGUGUUUAAUGUCUAACAUUGAAUCAUCGUUCUCUCCUCCCUCUUCACAACUUGGUUUUAGAUGUUUCUCUCCUGUGACCUCCUCAACCCUCUCACUGCUCCUUUCAGAGACAUUAGUUUGUGCUCAGCAGCACAUAUGUGAUGGUCUUAAACCUCAAUCACAAACAGCCUCUCGUCUUUAUUCUCUGCACAUCCGCUCUGAGGCCACGCUGACCAAGUUUGUGCUGCAAAAUGGAAUGGUGGGCUUCAGGGCCAAGGCUAUAAGAAGAGGAGUCCAGGUCCCUUUGUUAUCCUCUCAUCAGUCCAUCUCACAGCAGGUGAAGGAGGGCCUAAUGACGCUCUCCAAGGAUGGCGGUCUUGAGGAGAGGGAGGGGGUAAAGCUGGCAUACCAGGAAGAAGCACCCCGAACGCCACAGAGGAGGUAGCCAAGAAAAAGCAGAGACAAUGGUGUCCCCACUAGAGAGACGAGUGAGAAGGAGCUCUUUCUCUCAAGACUCUUCAUGUGCCCUCUCACUUCAACCUCUCUCUUCUUCUGCGCCUCACCUCUCCACCUACACCCAUCCUCCCUUUUCUUGCUACUUUCCCCUGGAGCAGGUUGGUAAUUGUCAC
Long non-coding RNA from Thunnus maccoyii (southern bluefin tuna), 728 nucleotides. RefSeq lists it as uncharacterized. Lineage: Eukaryota; Metazoa; Chordata; Actinopteri; Scombriformes; Scombridae. The transcript has 3 exons. The record is from RefSeq and is a predicted model, not a curated record.